RNAcentral lists this ribosomal RNA (492 nucleotides) under uncultured bacterium. RNAcentral describes it as "partial 16S ribosomal RNA". It matches the Rfam family "Bacterial small subunit ribosomal RNA", at positions 29 to 507 of the family's 1533-position model. The record is from RNAcentral.
AGUGAACGCUGGCGGUAGGCCUAACACAUGCAAGUCGAACGGCAGCACAGUAAGAGCUUGCUCUUACGGGUGGCGAGUGGCGGACGGGUGAGGAAUACAUCGGAAUCUACUUUUUCGUGGGGGAUAACGUAGGGAAACUUACGCUAAUACCGCAUACGACCUACGGGUGAAAGCAGGGGAUCUUCGGACCUUGCGCGAUUGAAUGAGCCGCUGUCGGAUUAGCUAGUUGGCGGGGUAAAGGCCCACCCAGGCGACGAUCCGUAGCUGGUCUGAGUGAAUGAUCAGCCACAUUGGAACUGGGACACGGUCCAGGCUCCUACGGGAGGGAGCAGUGGGGAAUAUUGGACAAUGGUCGCAAACCUGAUCCAGCCAGACCGCGUGGGUGAAGAAGGCCUUCGGGUUGUAAAGACCUUUUGUUGGGAAAGAAAAGCAGCAGGUUAAUACCACGCUGUUCUGACGGUACCGAAAGAAUAAGCACCGGCUAACUUCGUG